This is a regulatory RNA element of Plesiomonas shigelloides 302-73, 60 nucleotides long. It matches the Rfam family "L31-Gammaproteobacteria ribosomal protein leader". NCBI's taxonomy places the organism in Bacteria, Pseudomonadati, Pseudomonadota, Gammaproteobacteria, Enterobacterales, Enterobacteriaceae. The record is from Rfam.
CGUGUGGUGUUUGGCUGGCAGUAGCUGAGACCAAAUAGCGACACGGCCUUUACUUGAGGU